RNAcentral lists this ribosomal RNA (259 nucleotides) under uncultured bacterium. Its description in RNAcentral is "partial small subunit ribosomal RNA". It matches the Rfam family "Bacterial small subunit ribosomal RNA", at positions 26 to 288 of the family's 1533-position model. The record is from RNAcentral.
AGGACGAACGCUGGCGGCGUGCUUAACACAUGCAAGUCGAGCGGAAAGGCCCUUUCGGGGGUACUCGAGCGGCGAACGGGUGAGUAACACGUGAGUAACCUGCCCUGGACUUUGGGAUAACCCUCGGAAACGGGGGCUAAUACCGGAUACGACUUUUCCCUGCAUGGGGAUUGGUGGAAAGUUUUUCGGUCUGGGAUGGGCUCGCGGCCUAUCAGCUUGUUGGUGGGGUAAUGGCCUACCAAGGCGACGACGGGUAGCC